Molecule: long non-coding RNA, 429 nt
Filed under: Cyanistes caeruleus (blue tit)
Lineage: Eukaryota; Metazoa; Chordata; Aves; Passeriformes; Paridae
Description: lncRNA (ENSCCEG00000019934.1)
Source: RNAcentral
GGUCUGACUGCCUACAACAGUAUUUAAUAUGCAUAUACAAUAAAGAUUACUUCUGUUGUUUUUUGUGUUGUUUUUUUGUUUUUUGUUUGUUUGGAUUUUUAUUUUGUUUAUUGCCUUUUACAGGUCACAGUUAGAAGCCAACUUCAGCCUACUUAGGAAACAGUAUCAGCAAUGAAUCUUUUUAUUAACCCACCACUGCAUGUCUAAAAUUUGAUGGUGAUGAUGAUGAUGAUGAUGUUCCUAAUGAGAACUAGCAGUUUGAUCUACCUUGUCCAAGUGCACAGAGGAGUUCCAGUUUGCAGCCAGAAUCCAUUCUUUACUGAAAUCAGCUGGAAGACAUCUAGGGAACUGAAUGAGAACAGUAUCACAGAAACAGCAAUAUGCUUCCAGAAACAAAGUACUGCUGCAGAUUCAGAGGGAAGUGUUCAC